UACGUAGGUGGCGAGCGUUGUCCGGAUUUACUGGGCGUAAAGGGAGCGUAGGCGGACUUUUAAGUGAGAUGUGAAAUACCCGGGCUCAACUUGGGUGCUGCAUUUCAAACUGGAAGUCUAGAGUGCAGGAGAGGAGAAUGGAAUUCCUAGUGUAGCGGUGAAAUGCGUAGAGAUUAGGAAGAACACCAGUGGCGAAGGCGAUUCUCUGGACUGUAACUGACGCUGAGGCUCGAAAGCGUGGGGAGCAAACAGGAUUAGAUACCCCUGUAGU
This 271-nucleotide ribosomal RNA is filed under the name uncultured prokaryote. RNAcentral describes it as "partial 16S ribosomal RNA". It matches the Rfam family "Bacterial small subunit ribosomal RNA", at positions 524 to 794 of the family's 1533-position model. The record is from RNAcentral.